This 73-nucleotide transfer RNA is filed under the name Oceanibacterium hippocampi. Its description in RNAcentral is "Sneathiella sp. BFLP-8 tRNA". It matches the Rfam family "tRNA". From Rfam's summary of the family: Transfer RNA (tRNA) molecules are approximately 80 nucleotides in length. Their secondary structure includes four short double-helical elements and three loops (D, anti-codon, and T loops). The record is from Rfam by way of RNAcentral. Lineage: Bacteria; Pseudomonadati; Pseudomonadota; Alphaproteobacteria; Sneathiellales; Sneathiellaceae.
GGGCGCGUAGCUCAGGUGGUAGAGCAGCUGACUUUUAAUCAGCGGGUCGCAGGUUCGAGUCCUGCCGCGCUCA